This is a non-coding RNA of Apodospora peruviana, 121 nucleotides long. The record is from the annotation of a GenBank genome assembly. Lineage: Eukaryota; Fungi; Ascomycota; Sordariomycetes; Sordariales; Lasiosphaeriaceae.
GGCUGGGUGGCCGAGCGGUCUAAGGCGGUAGACUCAAGAAAAUGCACUUUCUUCCUCGCAGAAAUGUGAGGAUCGAUUUCUACUCUCGUAAGAGGCGCGCGUUCGAAUCGCGCCCCAGUCA